UGAGUAAUGCAUAGAAUCUGCCCGAUAGAGUGGGGAUAACCUGGGGAAACCCAGGCUAAUACCGCAUACGUCCUACGGGAGAAAGGGGGCUUCGGCUCCCGCUAUCGGAUGAGCCUAUGUCGGAUUAGCUAGUUGGUGAGGUAAUGGCUCACCAAGGCGACGAUCCGUAGCUGGUCUGAGAGGAUGAUCAGCCACAUCGGGACUGAGACACGGCCCGAACUCCUACGGGAGGCAGCAGUGGGGAAUAUUGGACAAUGGGCGCAAGCCUGAUCCAGCCAUGCCGCGUGUGUGAAGAAGGCCCUCGGGUUGUAAAGCACUUUCAGUGAGGAAGAACGCCUAUCGGUUAAUACCCGGUAGGGAAGACAUCACUCACAGAAGAAGCACCGGCUAACUCCGUGCCAGCAGCCGCGGUAAUACGGAGGGUGCGAGCGUUAAUCGGAAUUACUGGGCGUAAAGCGCGCGUAGGUGGCUAAAUAAGCCGGUUGUGAAAGCCCCGGGCUCAACCUGGGAACGGCAUCCGGAACUGUUUGGCUAGAGUGCAGGAGAGGAAGGUAGAAUUCCCGGUGUAGCGGUGAAAUGCGUAGAGAUCGGGAGGAAUACCAGUGGCGAAGGCGGCCUUCUGGACUGACACUGACACUAGGUGCGAAAGCGUGGGGUAGCCAAAACAGGAAUUAGAUACCCCUGGUAGUCCACCGCCCGUAA
This 702-nucleotide ribosomal RNA is filed under the name Halomonas sp. SP45. RNAcentral's name for it is "bacterial SSU rRNA". It matches the Rfam family "Bacterial small subunit ribosomal RNA", at positions 107 to 806 of the family's 1533-position model. The record is from RNAcentral. Lineage: Bacteria; Pseudomonadati; Pseudomonadota; Gammaproteobacteria; Oceanospirillales; Halomonadaceae.